RNAcentral lists this ribosomal RNA (496 nucleotides) under uncultured bacterium. RNAcentral's name for it is "bacterial SSU rRNA". It matches the Rfam family "Bacterial small subunit ribosomal RNA", at positions 903 to 1397 of the family's 1533-position model. The record is from RNAcentral.
AAAUGAAUUGACGGGGACCCGCACAAGCAGCGGAGCAUGUGGUUUAAUUCGAAGCAACGCGAAGAACCUUACCAGGGCUUGACAUGCCCCUGCCCGGUCUAGAGAUAGGCCUUUACCUUCGGGUACAGGGGACACAGGUGGUGCAUGGUUGUCGUCAGCUCGUGUCGUGAGAUGUUGGGUUAAGUCCCGCAACGAGCGCAACCCUUGUCUUUAGUUGCUAACAGCUAGGCUGAGCACUCUAGAGAGACUGCCGAUGACAAAUCGGAGGAAGGUGGGGAUGACGUCAAAUCAUCAUGCCCUUUAUGUCCUGGGCUACACACGUGCUACAAUGGUCGGUACAACGAGUAGCUACUUAGCGAUAAGAUGCAAAUCUCUUAAAGCCGAUCCCAGUUCGGAUUGUAGGCUGCAACUCGCCUACAUGAAGUCGGAGUUGCUAGUAAUCGCGAAUCAGAAUGUCGCGGUGAAUGCGUUCCCGGGUCUUGUACACACCGCCCGU